AUCUGGCUGACGAGUCCCGAAUAGGACGAAACGCGCAUCCUAGUU
This is a non-coding RNA of Schistosoma mansoni, 45 nucleotides long. NCBI's taxonomy places the organism in Eukaryota, Metazoa, Platyhelminthes, Trematoda, Strigeidida, Schistosomatidae. The record is from Rfam.